RNAcentral lists this long non-coding RNA (341 nucleotides) under Gallus gallus (chicken). The record is from RNAcentral. Lineage: Eukaryota; Metazoa; Chordata; Aves; Galliformes; Phasianidae.
GCCAUUUUAACUCUAGGAAAAGUUCUAUAUUGUGGCUGGCAGAAGUCAGAAUGUUAGGGAGAAGGAGAAAGAAAGGGGUAUGUUGGCAGAGGGAAUGAAGUCAAGGAAGUAAUUGUGGGUUUUGUGUGCAGUAGAAUUCCCUGCCUCUCAGUACAGGGGUGAAAGAAGGCUUCUCAGUCUAAACAUAGCAUUGGCUGAUUGCUGUGUGCUGUGUGCUGAAAGGUUUCUGCCCUGAUGACCGUGUGAGUGGGAGGUAUAAACUGUAAGGAAGAAUUGUGCCAGUAUGAUACAGCUGCUUGCCAUAUGUGUUGGAGGAAAGAACAUGUGAUUGUGAGGAGUAU